Molecule: transfer RNA, 77 nt
Filed under: Candidatus Uhrbacteria bacterium RIFCSPHIGHO2_01_FULL_46_23
Lineage: Bacteria; Candidatus Uhriibacteriota
Also listed under: 5 other names
Description: tRNA-Ile
Rfam family: tRNA
About the family: Transfer RNA (tRNA) molecules are approximately 80 nucleotides in length.
Source: RNAcentral
GGGCGGCUAGCUCAGCUGGUUAGAGCACUUCACUGAUAAUGAAGAGGUCGAUGGUUCAAAUCCAUCGCCGCCCACCA